UACGUAGGGUGCAAGCGUUAAUCGGAAUUACUGGGCGUAAAGCGUGCGCAGGCGGUUUUGUAAGACAGGGGUGAAAUCCCCGGGCUCAACCUGGGAACUGCCAUUGUGACUGCAAGGCUAGAGUGCGGCAGAGGGGGAUGGAAUUCCGCGUGUAGCAGUGAAAUGCGUAGAUAUGCGGAGGAACACCGAUGGCGAAGGCAAUCCCCUGGGCCUGCACUGACGCUCAUGCACGAAAGCGUGGGGAGCAAACAGG
RNAcentral lists this ribosomal RNA (253 nucleotides) under uncultured bacterium. RNAcentral's name for it is "partial 16S ribosomal RNA". It matches the Rfam family "Bacterial small subunit ribosomal RNA", at positions 524 to 776 of the family's 1533-position model. The record is from RNAcentral.